GAUGAAGGACGUGCUAAUCUGCGAUAAGCGUCGGUAAGGUGAUAUGAACCGUUAUAACCGGCGAUUUCCGAAUGGGGAAACCCAGUGUGUUUCGACACACUAUCAUUAACUGAAUCCAUAGGUUAAUGAGGCGAACCGGGGGAACUGAAACAUCUAAGUACCCCGAGGAAAAGAAAUCAACCGAGAUUCCCCCAGUAGCGGCGAGCGAACGGGGAGCAGCCCAGAGCCUGAAUCAGUGUGUGUGUUAGUGGAAGCGUCUGGAAAGGCGCGCGAUACAGGGUGACAGCCCCGUACACAAAAAUGCACAUGCUGUGAGCUCGAUGAGUAGGGCGGGACACGUGGUAUCCUGUCUGAAUAUGGGGGGACCAUCCUCCAAGGCUAAAUACUCCUGACUGACCGAUAGUGAACCAGUACCGUGAGGGAAAGGCGAAAAGAACCCCGGCGAGGGGAGUGAAAAAGAACCUGAAACCGUGUACGUACAAGCAGUGGGAGCACGCUUAGGCGUGUGACUGCGUACCUUUUGUAUAAUGGGUCAGCGACUUAUAUUCUGUAGCAAGGUUAACCGAAUAGGGGAGCCGAAGGGAAACCGAGUCUUAACUGGGCGUUAAGUUGCAGGGUAUAGACCCGAAACCCGGUGAUCUAGCCAUGGGCAGGUUGAAGGUUGGGUAACACUAACUGGAGGACCGAACCGACUAAUGUUGAAAAAUUAGCGGAUGACUUGUGGCUGGGGGUGAAAGGCCAAUCAAACCGGGAGAUAGCUGGUUCUCCCCGAAAGCUAUUUAGGUAGCGCCUCGUGAAUUCAUCUCCGGGGGUAGAGCACUGUUUCGGCAAGGGGGUCAUCCCGACUUACCAACCCGAUGCAAACUGCGAAUACCGGAGAAUGUUAUCACGGGAGACACACGGCGGGUGCUAACGUCCGUCGUGAAGAGGGAAACAACCCAGACCGCCAGCUAAGGUCCCAAAGUCAUGGUUAAGUGGGAAACGAUGUGGGAAGGCCCAGACAGCCAGGAUGUUGGCUUAGAAGCAGCCAUCAUUUAAAGAAAGCGUAAUAGCUCACUGGUCGAGUCGGCCUGCGCGGAAGAUGUAACGGGGCUAAACCAUGCACCGAAGCUGCGGCAGCGACGCUUAUGCGUUGUUGGGUAGGGGAGCGUUCUGUAAGCCUGCGAAGGUGUGCUGUGAGGCAUGCUGGAGGUAUCAGAAGUGCGAAUGCUGACAUAAGUAACGAUAAAGCGGGUGAAAAGCCCGCUCGCCGGAAGACCAAGGGUUCCUGUCCAACGUUAAUCGGGGCAGGGUGAGUCGACCCCUAAGGCGAGGCCGAAAGGCGUAGUCGAUGGGAAACAGGUUAAUAUUCCUGUACUUGGUGUUACUGCGAAGGGGGGACGGAGAAGGCUAUGUUGGCCGGGCGACGGUUGUCCCGGUUUAAGCGUGUAGGCUGGUUUUCCAGGCAAAUCCGGAAAAUCAAGGCUGAGGCGUGAUGACGAGGCACUACGGUGCUGAAGCAACAAAUGCCCUGCUUCCAGGAAAAGCCUCUAAGCAUCAGGUAACAUCAAAUCGUACCCCAAACCGACACAGGUGGUCAGGUAGAGAAUACCAAGGCGCUUGAGAGAACUCGGGUGAAGGAACUAGGCAAAAUGGUGCCGUAACUUCGGGAGAAGGCACGCUGAUAUGUAGGUGAAGCGACUUGCUCGUGGAGCUGAAAUCAGUCGAAGAUACCAGCUGGCUGCAACUGUUUAUUAAAAACACAGCACUGUGCAAACACGAAAGUGGACGUAUACGGUGUGACGCCUGCCCGGUGCCGGAAGGUUAAUUGAUGGGGUUAGCCGCAAGGCGAAGCUCUUGAUCGAAGCCCCGGUAAACGGCGGCCGUAACUAUAACGGUCCUAAGGUAGCGAAAUUCCUUGUCGGGUAAGUUCCGACCUGCACGAAUGGCGUAAUGAUGGCCAGGCUGUCUCCACCCGAGACUCAGUGAAAUUGAACUCGCUGUGAAGAUGCAGUGUACCCGCGGCAAGACGGAAAGACCCCGUGAACCUUUACUAUAGCUUGACACUGAACAUUGAGCCUUGAUGUGUAGGAUAGGUGGGAGGCUUUGAAGUGUGGACGCCAGUCUGCAUGGAGCCGACCUUGAAAUACCACCCUUUAAUGUUUGAUGUUCUAACGUUGACCCGUAAUCCGGGUUGCGGACAGUGUCUGGUGGGUAGUUUGACUGGGGCGGUCUCCUCCUAAAGAGUAACGGAGGAGCACGAAGGUUGGCUAAUCCUGGUCGGACAUCAGGAGGUUAGUGCAAUGGCAUAAGCCAGCUUGACUGCGAGCGUGACGGCGCGAGCAGGUGCGAAAGCAGGUCAUAGUGAUCCGGUGGUUCUGAAUGGAAGGGCCAUCGCUCAACGGAUAAAAGGUACUCCGGGGAUAACAGGCUGAUACCGCCCAAGAGUUCAUAUCGACGGCGGUGUUUGGCACCUCGAUGUCGGCUCAUCACAUCCUGGGGCUGAAGUAGGUCCCAAGGGUAUGGCUGUUCGCCAUUUAAAGUGGUACGCGAGCUGGGUUUAGAACGUCGUGAGACAGUUCGGUCCCUAUCUGCCGUGGGCGCUGGAGAACUGAGGGGGGCUGCUCCUAGUACGAGAGGACCGGAGUGGACGCAUCACUGGUGUUCGGGUUGUCAUGCCAAUGGCACUGCCCGGUAGCUAAAUGCGGAAGAGAUAAGUGCUGAAAGCAUCUAAGCACGAAACUUGCCCCGAGAUGAGUUCUCCCUGACUCCUUGAGAGUCCUGAAGGAACGUUGAAGACGACGACGUUGAUAGGCCGGGUGUGUAAGCGCAGCGAUGCGUUGAGCUAACCGGUACUAAUGAACCGUGAGGCUUAACCUU
RNAcentral lists this ribosomal RNA (2859 nucleotides) under Escherichia coli. RNAcentral describes it as "partial 23S ribosomal RNA". It matches the Rfam family "Bacterial large subunit ribosomal RNA". The record is from RNAcentral. Lineage: Bacteria; Pseudomonadati; Pseudomonadota; Gammaproteobacteria; Enterobacterales; Enterobacteriaceae.